RNAcentral lists this ribosomal RNA (191 nucleotides) under uncultured Flavobacteriales bacterium. RNAcentral's name for it is "partial 16S ribosomal RNA". It matches the Rfam family "Bacterial small subunit ribosomal RNA", at positions 335 to 523 of the family's 1533-position model. The record is from RNAcentral. Lineage: Bacteria; Pseudomonadati; Bacteroidota; Flavobacteriia; Flavobacteriales.
ACCCCUACGGGAGGCAGCAGUGAGGAAUAUUGGACAAUGGGCGGGACCCUGAUCCAGCCAUGCCGCGUGCAGGAAGACUGCCCUAUGGGUUGUAAACUGCUUUUUUACGGGAAGAAAAAGCGCUACGUGUAGCUCGGUGACGGUACCGUAAGAAUAAGGAUCGGCUAACUCCGUGCCAGCAGCCGCGGUAA